Molecule: ribosomal RNA, 469 nt
Filed under: uncultured bacterium
Lineage: Bacteria
Description: partial 16S ribosomal RNA
Rfam family: Bacterial small subunit ribosomal RNA
Source: RNAcentral
GACGAACGCUGGCGGCGUGCUUAACACAUGCAAGUCGAACGAGGAAUCCGUAGCUUGCUUUGGUGGAUUAGUGGCGAACGGGUGAGUAACACGUGAGCAACGUGCCCAUGACUCUGGAAUAACCGCGGGAAACCGUGGCUAAUACCGGAUAGGUGCCGUGGCCGCAUGGUCUUCGGUUGGUAAGUUUUUUCGGUUCUGGAUUGGCUCACGGCCUAUCAGCUUGUUGGUGGGGUAAUGGCGUACCAAGGCGACGACGCGUGGCCGGCCUGAGAGGGUGACCGGCGACACUGGGACUGAGCUACGGCACAGACCCGACCGGGAGGCAGCAGAGGGGAAUAUUGCACAAUGGGCGCAAGCAUGAUGCAGCACAGCCGCGUGGGGGAUGACGUCAUGCGCGUUGUAAACCUCUUUUAGUUGGGAAGAGGCGAAAGUGACGGUACCGGCAGAAAAAGCACCGGCUAACUCCGUG